RNAcentral lists this ribosomal RNA (484 nucleotides) under uncultured bacterium. Its description in RNAcentral is "partial 16S ribosomal RNA". It matches the Rfam family "Bacterial small subunit ribosomal RNA", at positions 28 to 523 of the family's 1533-position model. The record is from RNAcentral.
GACGAACGCUGGCGGCGUGCUUAACACAUGCAAGUCGAACGAUGAAGCCGGAGCUUGCUCUGGUGAAUUAGUGGCGAACGGGUGAGUAACACGUGAGUAACCUGCCCUUGACUCUGGGAUAACUGCUAGAAAUGGUAGCUAAUACCGGAUACGACCCUCGGAGGCAUCUCCAGGGGGUGGAAAGAAUUUCGGUCAAGGAUGGACUCGCGGCCUAUCAGCUAGUUGGUGAGGUAACGGCUCACCAAGGCGACGACGGGUAGCCGGCCUGAGAGGGUGACCGGCCACACUGGGACUGAGACGCGGCCCAGACUCCUACGGGGGGCAGCAGUGGGGAAUAUUGCACAAUGGGCGCAAGCCUGAUGCAGCAACGCCGCGUGAGGGAUGACGGCCUUCGGGUUGUAAACCUCUUUUAGUAGGGAAGAAGCGAAAGUGACGGUACCUGCAGAAAAAGCACCGGCUAACUACGUGCCAGCAGCCGCCGCUG